RNAcentral lists this unclassified non-coding RNA (669 nucleotides) under Hevea brasiliensis (rubber tree). The record is from RNAcentral. Lineage: Eukaryota; Viridiplantae; Streptophyta; Magnoliopsida; Malpighiales; Euphorbiaceae.
GAUUUAUAACUGAGCAGAUGAUGAACAAAUAGAUUUUAAAAGAUGCUGAUCAUGAGUAUCCAUGAGGCUUCAAUAAUCGAGCUUUUUAAAACUGAUGCUCAGUUCAUCCUCUCAUCUCUUUCUUGUUUUUGUCUCUGUUUAUCAUCAAUUCAAGAGCUUCAAUUUUUUAUUUGUGAUUUGCUCUGUUUGAUCUUAGUUUUUUUUUUCUUUUUUGGGGAUCUGACGGGGGAUUUCAUUGAAGAAAUUCCUUACUAGAUUUGGAGCAAACGAAAUGUCAGUGUUUGUAUAAUCCAAAAGUAAACGUCAGAUAGAAAUUCCCUGACGCGUCGAGGUCGUCCACCAUAUUCUUGGUGGAGCUCCUCCGCGAGAAGGGAAGGAGUCAUAUUCCAUCGCCUUGUGUAGCGGCAUCGCUGCCAUUACAAUUUGGGACUGGCCAUGAGUCAUACAUUUAUAUUGAUUUUUUUAAAGUGACGUUGAUAUGCUUUGUUGGUGAAUGGUACACAAAUAGAACAGGAAAUAGGCAUGAGUGUUGUUGAUGAUGAAGCCUUUUUCUUUGGAAAAGCUUCUCCUUCAAUGGGAGGUAUCAUAGGGACUCUGGCUUUAAGAUUUGCAUUGUGUCUUAAACAAUGUUGCCCAUGAUGAUAUCAGUACACCAAAAUACCAUCUUUC